AUAGCGUAUAUUAAAGUUGUUGCAGUUAAAAAGCUCGUAGUUGAACUUCGAACCUGGUUGAGUGGUCUGCCUUCACGGUACGUACUGCUUGGCUGGGCUCUACCUCUUGGUGAGCCGGCAUGUCCUUUACUGGGUGUGUCGGGGAACCAGGACUUUUACCUUGAGAAAAUUAGAGUGUUCAAAGCAGGCUUAUGCUCGAAUACAUUAGCAUGGAAUAAUAAAAUAGGACGUGCGGUUCUAUUUUGUUGGUUUCUAGAGUCGCCGUAAUGAUUAAUAGGGAUAGUUGGGGGCAUUAGUAUUCAGUUGCUAGAGGUGAAAUUCUUGGAUUUACGGAAGACUAACUACUG
This 347-nucleotide ribosomal RNA is filed under the name uncultured eukaryote. RNAcentral describes it as "SSU rRNA". It matches the Rfam family "Eukaryotic small subunit ribosomal RNA", at positions 594 to 945 of the family's 1831-position model. The record is from RNAcentral.